CACUGCAGUAUUUGUUUGGUCGACAUACCACGUUGGUUGUAGUGAAUGCACCUUGCAGUAAGGCGGUAUUUGAGUUAUAUUUUAGAAGUGCCUAGACAAAAUCUGCUCCUUGUCGUGUGCAGUAACCAUCGCAAACCCUCCGGACUUGUGUAACGCCGUUAGUUCGCCGUGUGUUUCGUGCGAUCUACCAGUGUCGACAGUGAGUGUCUUACUACAGCGCCCGUCCGAGCUGCCUUUGUUCUGCCGAGCUGCCUGCCCGCGCUCUCGUGAAAAGUCUGGUACUGGAGCUUCGAAUCGUAGUGUAUGGAAGACUGUUGAAGGUUGUGCUUUUGUGGAGCUGGAGUUCAUCGGAAGUUCUACAGUGCUUGCGCCAGAAAAACGUCGGUGCCUCGGUACCUUUGAGACGAAGGAGCGUUGGCCAAGUCUUUUUGAAAGGCUAUGCGGAUUCUGGAGGCAUCCCUACAUCAAGCAGGAACCUGCUGCACUGCUGGAAGCUGGACAGCACGACAAUAAAGCACGUGAUCUGUGUGCUUUCUCAAAGGUAGACAUCGGCGACGGUGUAUAUGUUGAAAAGUUCCUGCUGAAGAGGCUGCGCCUGGAUGCUAACAACUCAGGCUUUCAGUUCGCGGGGGGCCUCCUUAAGGCUCCUUUUACAAAAGAAGAGGUUGAAGGGAGGCGCUACACAUGGAUGCGCAGCGAUUGUUUGUGACAUCGUCACUGCUGGCAGGCCUGGCCUGCCUUUUCGCUUCGUUCUGGGUCUUCCACGUUAUCUACUCGAAAAGGCCCACAGGGUUUUGACAUUUAUUGAGCACUGCUUUCUGGAUUUGAGCUACACAAAGCUGCAGGUGAAAGCAUUGGAUUUAGUCAAUAUUUACAAGAACUAUUGCUAGGCAAAAAAAUUUUCAGAUGCAUAUCCUCAAGAAAGUUUCUGUAAAAAUUAUUUUGCCUAACAAAAGCACUCGUGGGUUCUGUGGCUGGCAGCUUGCCCAAGCCAUGUAGCACAGUGCUUGCUUUAAAGGGACA
Molecule: long non-coding RNA, 1023 nt
Organism: Dermacentor andersoni
Lineage: Eukaryota; Metazoa; Arthropoda; Arachnida; Ixodida; Ixodidae
Source: RefSeq, a predicted model, not a curated record